GAUGAACGCUGGCGGCGUGCCUAAUACAUGCAAGUCGAGCGAACAGAUGAGGAGCUUGCUCCUCUGACGUUAGCGGCGGACGGGUGAGUAACACGUGGAUAACCUACCUAUAAGACUGGGAUAACUUCGGGAAACCGGAGCUAAUACCGGAUAAUAUAUUGAACCGCAUGGUUCAAUAGUGAAAGACGGUUUUGCUGUCACUUAUAGAUGGAUCCGCGCCGCAUUAGCUAGUUGGUAAGGUAACGGCUUACCAAGGCGACGAUGCGUAGCCGACCUGAGAGGGUGAUCGGCCACACUGGAACUGAGACACGGUCCAGACUCCUACGGGAGGCAGCAGUAGGGAAUCUUCCGCAAUGGGCGAAAGCCUGACGGAGCAACGCCGCGUGAGUGAUGAAGGUCUUCGGAUCGUAAAACUCUGUUAUUAGGGAAGAACAAAUGUGUAAGUAACUAUGCACGUCUUGACGGUACCUAAUCAGAAAGCCACGGUUAACUACGUG
RNAcentral lists this ribosomal RNA (497 nucleotides) under uncultured bacterium. RNAcentral describes it as "partial 16S ribosomal RNA". It matches the Rfam family "Bacterial small subunit ribosomal RNA", at positions 28 to 507 of the family's 1533-position model. The record is from RNAcentral.